Molecule: RNase P RNA, 390 nt
Filed under: Clostridiales bacterium
Lineage: Bacteria; Bacillati; Bacillota; Clostridia; Eubacteriales
Also listed under: 2 other names
Description: RNase P RNA component class A
Rfam family: Bacterial RNase P class A
About the family: Ribonuclease P (RNase P) is a ubiquitous endoribonuclease, found in archaea, bacteria and eukarya as well as chloroplasts and mitochondria. Its best characterised activity is the generation of mature 5'-ends of tRNAs by cleaving the 5'-leader elements of precursor-tRNAs.
Source: RNAcentral
CAAGUAAGCUGGACAGCCGCGCGGACGGGGCGAAAGGCCCGCCUGUGAGGAAAGUCCGGGCUCCACAGGGCAAGGAUAACGGGUAACACCCGCCGGGGGCGACCCUAGGAAAAGUGCAACAGAGAUAAACCGCCUCGUCCCCCCAAAAGGGGCCGGCGCAAAAACUUGGUUUUUGCGCCGACGAGGUAAGGGUGGAAAGGCGGAGGUAAGAGCCCGCCCGACGGCGUGCCAAGCGUCCGUCGCUGUAAACUCUAUCCGGAGCAACGCCGUGGAGGGACACUUGGUCGGCCCGACCGUCCCAGGGAGGCGGCUGGAGCGUACCGGCAACGGUACGUCGAGAUAGAUGGCUGUCUUAAAUGACAGAACCCGGCUUACAGGCUUGCUUGCAGC